This 2671-nucleotide long non-coding RNA is filed under the name Mytilus galloprovincialis (Mediterranean mussel). The record is from RNAcentral. Lineage: Eukaryota; Metazoa; Mollusca; Bivalvia; Mytilida; Mytilidae.
GCAGUUAAUUUUACAACACAUUCCAUAAUAUGAAGAUGAAAUUUGAAAACUGUAGGAGUUAGCCAGAGGAACAAUAAAACAGUAUGACCCAACCAUAUUACCAAAAAUUAACGAAGUUAAACAUCCUGUUAUUUGUGGAAAAUUCUAUGCAAAUCAAAAUCCUGAUAUUAUGCAUCUAUGCAGUUCAUAUAGUUUUGACUUGAAGACUAUAGGAGGAGUUAGCCAGACAACCAUAAACCCUAUGUGGGACAGAUCAACAGGAGAAAGGUAGGUUGAACAGAUGGGCAGGCACAACACAGUAUGCUCCCUAACAUUCAUUACAGACGAAUGAAAAAUGUCAUUUAGGAUCAAUCAGACUGCACAAAUGACAAAUAGUAGCCUUUGUUUAUUCUCUAUUGGAAGGUAUGAGGGAUAUUGCAUUUCAAACAGUACGCCUAGAAAGUAAAUAAGUCUUAAAUGAAUGUCUAGGUAGCUUUUCUUUUACACUAGGUGCUCCUUAACCUCAUAAACACUUUCAAUUUUCUCUUUUGUUUGGAUUGGAAACAAAUAUCUUAAGGAAAGUAUAACAAGACUUACAAUUUCCCAAAAACUUUUAUAAGCAAAAAUAUACCACUCUUCAAUAAAUGCAACAAUUUUGAUCUAUCAAUGUAACCUUUGUUUGACUAAGUCAACUUUUUAUACAUGCAUAUGUUAUCUAAAUGACAUACAAAGGAAUCACAUAUUGGUAACGUAUAGUGAGUAUCAUGGAAAUACCUCAAAAAAGUGAUUUUUAAUGAUAAGUUAUUAUUAAGGUUACAUUUAAAAGUCUAGAAAUUGCAUAUGUAAAUAUAUUUAACUAAACAAAAGAGCAAACAUGGGUGAUGUCAUUAAUCAAGUGCAAGUGGUUGUUUUAUCCUGUUAAAAGACAUUUGAUUCUUUAAGCUUGCACUUGUGGAGUGACACCUACUUUUUGCUGAAAUCAUUUGUUUAGUACAAAAUUCUCAUUUCGAUAAAAAAAAACAUAUUUUAAAAAUUCUGAUUUGGAUGCAAUGUUGGCUUUCUUCUAAAACCAUGAACACAUAUGUGACCAGCCACGACAUAUCCAGGCCCAUUAACUAUAUGUGACUAGCCACUUCAAGGCUUAGGAGGGUACAUUGUCUAAAUUUGCUUUUUUAUUUUAUUAGAAAUUCCGAACAAACUUCUGUCAAGUUGUUAUGCCAUUUUAUUUUAAUGCAAUGAAAGAUCAUUUCGAAUAUGUUAUGAAAAUGAGACUGUUAAUGACGGCUUUAAUUUAUUAAGGCACUAAUUUAAUAAAAAUAAAAUUAUUGUUUAUUGGCUCUUAGUAAGUUAAUAGUUUUGAAUAAUUUCAAAGACUUAAAUUUACUACAAUACAACAAUCUAGCUCUAUUUUAGAACAUGUAAUUAAAUUGUUGAAAUGAAUUAGUUUAAAAUUUGUCAAAGUAACUUUAAGAAGUCUUUUUAAUUAGAUUUAGAUGAUGUCUCAAACAUAGUAUGCAACGCACAGUUUUAUAAUAGGUUUCCAUUAAUGAUGUGAUACGGUGCAUUAUUGGAUCUAUUUCAGACUCAUUAGAAAGAAAAUUAUAAAGCAAGAUUUUUUUUGUAGCUCUAUUUUAGAACAUGUAAUUAACUUGUUUAAAAUGAAGUUAGUUAAAUUGUCAAGUAAGCUUAAGAUUCCUUUUUAAUUUAGAUUAUUAAGCACGUUCAUAGUAGUCAGUUUAUAAGUAGGUAUUAUCUUAAUGAGAUCUUGGAUACGUACAUUCGUAGGGAUAUAUUUCAGAUUUCAUUUAUGAAAGGAAAUCUAUAGAGCAGAAAUUUGAUUUUUUUGUAUCAAUUUAAAAAUGAUUAAAUUCAUUUUUUUCACUUCAAACGAUAAAGUAAGACUUCUUCAAAACUAUAUAUGAUGUAUAGUUCGGCGUCAGCAAAAAAGAAGCCAAGGAACGUGUUUAUCUCUUCUUCACAAAUACGUAUUUCAUUGAAUCUCGAUAUUUAUCAUGUUUAUAAUUUUUCUAACAUUGACGUUCUACCUCCAUAAGCCUGCAAAUGUCAUGGCAGGUCACAUAUAAUGAAGUAAACAGUUAAACACUCAAUUGUAUACUAUACAAACAAUUAAAUACUUGUAAUUUUAUACCCAUUAUUUUAAAAUAUAUAAGAAGUUUUAUGUUGACAUACAUAUCUCCUGCAUUCAGAAUCAGCAUUAUUUUUUUUUUCAUUUAUUUAAAAGACAAAAAAGUUUCAAUAACCAAAACUGGGCAUCUUAUUGGCUUCAGAUCAUUUUCCAUCUUUAUGCUCACAGGCCCCAGAACAGCAUAAAAAAACAAGGAUAAAUUUGUUUUUGUCUGAGAAUGGAAAGCUGAAAUUGUUUUGAAAUAUGAUUUUGCUUCUUAAAUGGAUUGUAUAUUUUCAUUUGACAUUAGGCUUAACAUGUAUAAUUUCCAUUUAGUGUAUAACAAAAGGAAAGUUUAAGCUAAAAUCAUAUUAGGUGGAAUGAUAUGUUUUUUUAAAGUGUGGUAUAAAUGCAGAAUUAAAACUCCAUUCUUAUUACAAAAUCAGAUACAAAACAAAAAUGAAUUCAUCAAAAAUGCAUAAUUAAAAGCAGUUUCAAAAAAUGCUGAGCAAUUCAACAUUAACUUUAAGCAAAACAAAAAUGCUGUUCUAUUAAAAAAAAAUAAAA